RNAcentral lists this long non-coding RNA (653 nucleotides) under Elaeis guineensis (African oil palm). RNAcentral describes it as "long non-coding RNA (EGUI_LNC046432)". The record is from RNAcentral. Lineage: Eukaryota; Viridiplantae; Streptophyta; Magnoliopsida; Arecales; Arecaceae.
GAUGAUAGCGAAAUGGGCUUUAUAGGUCUCCACCUUCCCAUCUGUGCUACUCUGAACCUUUUGAAAAAUCUAUUCACACCCAAUGGAUUUUAUCCCUUCAGGUGAAUCAUCUAGUGUCCAUACACUACUGAUUUUCAUAGACUUCAAUGUGAAUUUAAUGGCUCCAAGCCACUUCUCAGAGUUAGACCACUGCAUUGCAUCCCUAUAGGUGAUCGGAUCCUUGUUAAUCUCAUCGAGAUCAACAGGAUCGCCGUCCCAGACCUAGACACUGAAGUGUCUAUCUGGCUAACGCGGUACUCUACCAGAUCUUCUUAAAGGUGUUACUUUAAUAGGCUCCGAGUUUGAUCUAAUCAAAUCCGGUUCUGCAGGUUUACUAGAUUAUGUCAGUUCAUUUUCUACCAGUCAAACUUUCAAGUUCAACUUGAUAGGCAUCAGUUCCUUCUUUAAGGAACUUCUUUCCAAAAGGAAUGCCCUACUGCUGAUGAGCAUCUUAUGUUCUUCAGUAUGACAGAAUUAGUAACCCUUAAACAACUAUUGGAUCAAGAAUCAAGUUUAUUUGUAUGCAAACCUUUGACAUAGGCCGAUCAACUCCAAACCCAAAGGUGAGAGAGUCUAGGUCUAUGCCCGAUCCAUAUCUCAUAUGGAAUCUGCAC